UACGGAGGGUGCGAGCGUUGUCCGGAAUCAUUGGGCGUAAAGGGCGCGUAGGUGGCACGACAAGCGUGCGGUGAAAGCUUGGGGCUCAACCCCGAGUCGGCCGUGCGAACUGUUGAGCUGGAGCACUGUAGAGGCAGGCGGAAUUCCGAGUGUAGAGGUGAAAUUCGUAGAUAUUCGGAAGAACACCAGUGGCGAAGGCGACUCACUGGACACGUAUUGACGCUGAGGUGCGAAAGCGUGGGGAGCAAACAGG
RNAcentral lists this ribosomal RNA (253 nucleotides) under uncultured bacterium. Its description in RNAcentral is "partial 16S ribosomal RNA". It matches the Rfam family "Bacterial small subunit ribosomal RNA", at positions 524 to 776 of the family's 1533-position model. The record is from RNAcentral.